RNAcentral lists this ribosomal RNA (255 nucleotides) under uncultured bacterium. RNAcentral's name for it is "partial 16S ribosomal RNA". It matches the Rfam family "Bacterial small subunit ribosomal RNA", at positions 99 to 354 of the family's 1533-position model. The record is from RNAcentral.
CGGACGGGUGAGUAACGCGUGGAAAACCUGCCGUAUACUGGGGGAUAACACUUAGAAAUAGGUGCUAAUACCGCAUAAGCGCACAGUAUCGCAUGAUACAGUGUGAAAAACUCCGGUGGUACAGGAUGGACCCGCGUCUGAUUAGCUGGUUGGCGGGGUAACGGCCCACCAAGGCGACGAUCAGUAGCCGGCCUGAGAGGGUGAACGGCCACAUUGGGACUGAGACACGGCCCAAACUCCUACGGAAGGCAGCAG